This 497-nucleotide ribosomal RNA is filed under the name uncultured bacterium. Its description in RNAcentral is "partial 16S ribosomal RNA". It matches the Rfam family "Bacterial small subunit ribosomal RNA", at positions 28 to 507 of the family's 1533-position model. The record is from RNAcentral.
GAUGAACGCUGGCGGCGUGCCUAAUACAUGCAAGUCGAGCGAACGGACGAGAAGCUUGCUUCUCUGAUGUUAGCGGCGGACGGGUGAGUAACACGUGGAUAACCUACCUAUAAGACUGGGAUAACUUCGGGAAACCGGAGCUAAUACCGGAGGAUAUUUUGAACCGCAUGGUUCAAAGGUGAAAGACGGUCUUGCUGUCACUUAUAGAUGGAUCCGCGCUGCAUUAGCUAGUUGGUAAGGUAACGGCUUACCAAGGCAACGAUGCAUAGCCGACCUGAGAGGGUGAUCGGCCACACUGGAACUGAGACACGGUCCAGACUCCUACGGGAGGCAGCAGUAGGGAAUCUUCCGCAAUGGGCGAAAGCCUGACGGAGCAACGCCGCGUGAGUGAUGAAGGUCUUCGGAUCGUAAAACUCUGUUAUUAGGGAAGAACAGAUGUGUAAGUAACUGUGCACAUCUUGACGGUACCUAAUCAGAAAGCCACGGCUAACUACGUG